GGCCCACCAAGGCUACGAUCAGUAGGGGUUCUGAGAGGAAGGUCCCCCACAUUGGAACUGAGACACGGUCCAAACUCCUACGGGAGGCAGCAGUGAGGAAUAUUGGUCAAUGGGCGAGAGCCUGAACCAGCCAAGUAGCGUGCAGGAUGACGGCCCUAUGGGUUGUAAACUGCUUUUAUAAGGGAAUAAAGUGAGUCUCGUGAGACUUUUUGCAUGUACCUUAUGAAUAAGGACCGGCAUAAUUCCGUGCCAGCAGCCGCGGUAAUACGGAAGGUCCGGGCGUUAUCCGGAUUUAUUGGGUUUAAAGGGAGCGUAGGCCGGAGAUUAAGCGUGUUGUGAAAUGUAGACGCUCAACGUCUGCACUGCAGCGCGAACUGGUUUCCUUGAGUACGCACAAAGUGGGCGGAAUUCGUGGUGUAGCGGUGAAAUGCUUAGAUAUCACGAAGAACUCCGAUUGCGAAGGCAGCUCACUGGAGCGCAACUGACGCUGAAGCUCGAAAGUGCGGGUAUCGAACAGGAUUAGAUACCCUGGUAGUCCGCACGGUAAACGAUGGAUGCCCGCUGUUGGUCUGAAUAGGUCAGCGGCCAAGCGAAAGCAUUAAGCAUCCCACCUGGGG
RNAcentral lists this ribosomal RNA (617 nucleotides) under uncultured bacterium. RNAcentral describes it as "bacterial SSU rRNA". It matches the Rfam family "Bacterial small subunit ribosomal RNA", at positions 262 to 878 of the family's 1533-position model. The record is from RNAcentral.